Molecule: long non-coding RNA, 4610 nt
Filed under: Homo sapiens (human)
Lineage: Eukaryota; Metazoa; Chordata; Mammalia; Primates; Hominidae
Description: HSALNT0391036
Source: RNAcentral
ACUGUUCUAAGGGCUUUUGGACAGGCAGUUGUGAAAUUUUCCCCCAGAAGAAUCUCUGGGGACCCAGUUGUCACACACCGCUGGAUUCACUGCGGUGUUGAUUCUGCCUCCUGAUGAAGUUCUUCCCGAGUCUGACUUCGAGCCCGCCUGCUUUAUUAAGCACGUUUUUCUCCAGUCGUUUUUUUUUUUUUUUAAUGGAAAAAGGAACAGGGAGAAGGCUUUUCUCGAACCUGUUUGCAGAGAGCCGUCUUGCCCGCUUUGAGGGCCCUUUCUUGGGAGACCUGUUUGCUUUGUUCAACCUCUGAAUUCAGCAGACCCCAAAUCCACCAAGGCCACUAGCUUGUGAGUGAAUGUGGUCCCUUCAGGUAAGGGCCAGACAGCCCCUGCCAGGGCUUGGGGAGGGUUUUCCUAGAGGAAUCCUGGCAGUAAAAAAACCAACCCCCAAACUCUCCAAGUGCUGGACGCUGGAGAAUCCCAGCAAGGAAAAGGAACAAAUCUUAUCUCAUGCCGGAAGAUAACCUCUUCCCUUUGUUGGCGCCUUUCCUUGCGUUCAGGAUGAAUUAAAAUUCUUAUCUGCUCUGCAUCCAGUGAACUUGGCCUCGCCUUCCUGAUUGUUUGCUGCGGCUGACUUUCCCAAGCUUUGCGGGGUUAUUUUUGCCUCUGGGUGGUGGUCAUUCCUUCCUUCCAUGGCAUUUGGUUCCACACAGUCACAGAAAAAGAGUAAUUUAGCAAACACCCUCAAAAUGGCAGGACUGGCCCCCAAAACCUACUUUCAUUUUCCUCUGUUCUGGGUUGUGGGUAAUUUCUUGACAACUACAAGAAAGAAGACAAUGAGAAAUGAAUUGUUUUUUCCAAUACGAUUGUGAACAGAUGUAUAACCUCCUAGUCGCAGCAACGUUCUAGGAAUCCCUUACACCACUUUAAAGGGGCAGGAAAAUGGGCAGAGGUGCUGAGGGCUGGGUGAGUGCUAAGCAUUGGCAGGGCUCAGCCUCAUCCUGACGAGAGCUGCAGCCAUAACCUGGGUCACCUUUGCUGUCUCGGGCUUCUAAAUUUGGCAGCGAGAACAGACUCGCUUCCUUUGAGCAAUUGAUCUGAAUAGCAGAAUCCCAUUCUGAUGGUCCGAAUCACAUUUACAGGCUGUGGGGGUGAAGGCCGUGCUAAUUGGCCACUUGCCUCACCACUGGCUUUGAAACAAUCGCUUGUAUUCUCUGCGCGGCAGGAAGCAGCAGACCCAUCAAGGCCCUGGGCUCACUCUUUGUUCUGACUUUAUGGCAUUUUAUGCCACAAUAAGAAACACUGUGUACUCCGUGGGAGCCCAUUGUGCCAGGCUGCAAGGAUGUGGGCUCCGGUGCAGAGGGCCUGGUGCUCUUCCCCAGGAAGAAGAGGGGCUUUGUGACAGGCUGGGGGACAAAACAAGGGGUGCUGGACACUGUUACUGAGGCAACUGCCUGGCCAGUGUGGAGGCAGCUUUAGUCCCUGGGACCGUUUCUGUGCCCAAGGAGAGGGAGGGCAGGGGAAGGAUGGAAUUUCAUCUAGAGUAGCAGGUCCUGGUUGCCUGGUAAAUUAUGCAUCAGGACUGGGCUAGCCACUGCCUCCGUUUUCUCUGGGCUCCUGAGAUAACCUCCACCUGCCUCUAGAUUCUGUGCCAGCUGAUCGUUAUCUAUCUCAUCAACUCUUGUUCCAUCAGGAAACUGCAUCUUGGUGGAUGAUGAACCAAUAAACCUGGACACAAUCUCCCGAAUAACACCACACAUGCCAACAAAUGACAUCAGCAUUCCAGAAUGUAAGCGGCUGGAAUCUGAUGAAGAUAAGAACUAACGAAAAUCCCACAUGAGUCAUGCUAAUAUACACAAAGAGGGCUCAAAUUCCAAGAAUCAAUUUCCAGAUCAGUAAGCCAAGAUCAGAGCAUGGUAAACACCUAUCAUAAAUGAAAUGGUAGAAUCCUGACAUGGUGUUUAAUGAUGGCUUUACAAAGUAUCACAUUUCAUAGCUGUGAACUAUCCCCAAAUCAUCUCACAAAAAAGGAAAGAUCAAAGAAAAGGGCAAUUCAGAAAAGAUCUUAUUUCUCUCUCUCUCUUGCAUGAAAAAGAGCACAUAAAAUAGAAGCAGUGGUUACCCCAGCGUGGCCCUUCAGAGAACCGAGGUAACUAUGGUAACUAAGAACGGUCUUUUAGUUCGCAAGGUUCGAAUUCUAGAACUGUUGGUUGGAUUUGGGGUAAGUCCCAUAAGGGAGAGCUGCGAACUUCAAGUGUGGACUGGUUCAUUCUCUAGGGAGAUAGCAACCUUUUCCUAAAAAAUCUUGGUUCUUCAUUGCUGGAGAGAAGAACAAGCCCUGUGAAGCAGUCAGAGAUCCUUAUACCCAGCAGACUUAAGGGUGUGGUAUUCAAGGAAAAAAACACUUUGGGAAAUAGAGAAGAAACUGAUCAGGAACACCAGACUUUUCUUUAUAAAUACGUAUAUUUUAAGAGCAACAAAACAGAGACAAUUUUCUCAAAAUAAGCAACCACUAAAAUGUCAAGGAAGGACCCAUUUAUGACUUAAAAUUCCCAUGGCUCUCUAACGAAAGCAAUGCUAAUUUUGGCCUUGGGAAAGUGGAAAAAAUAUAUAAUUAUGAAAAGUCCUCACCUUUCUUGCAAUUUCUUGAGUUUCUCAGGGUCUGCCUUUAUCUUACUGGUUUCCUUUUCAUCUGUGAAACCAGAGGCUGCCAUCCUGCUCCCAUUAUCAUUUUGAUUUGGGAAAUGAGACACUGCAAAGAAAGUAAAUGGUGUAUUUUCUUGCAGAGACCCAGACACAUGCAAAUGGCCUUCUGAGUUCAUUCUUGAUGGAGAGGAGCUGGAAGAAUCCACUAAGGACAAAUUGCCCUGUGGAUUUAGUAAGAGAUCUGUAUAUAGUGGAGCCCCCUGAGGCUGGCUUGUUAAAGUAGUAUCUUCUGCUUCCCUGACAGCAAAUUCGUGUGCACUGUUUACUGGGAAAUAAUUAUGGUUUUCGGCACUGGCAAAUGGAGUCCUAUUUCUAAUGGGAGACAGUGGUUGGCAAACAUGAAACCCUGAGUUUCCCUCUGAGUCUGAGCUGUGAACUGAAGUCGAUGACAUUGACAAGUCUACUGGAAUAUCAUCUCUCAGAGCAGAAUGCAUGAAUGAUGCAGGAGGGUUAUAGGAUGAAUUCACUGAUGAUCUUGGAGAUAUUGGUCUGCCAGAAAUAAAGUAGUCAAGAGAAUUUUGAGAACUGUUUAAAUAGUCUUUCCAGUAUCCUUCAGAAUCAUGGGUGCCAGGCCUAUGUUCCACAGAAAUACAAUCACUCCAUACAUUUUCAGCAUUGACACCAACCUCUUGUCUGGGCUCGGAUUUGGUGUCCCACGAAAGAGGGCUCUUUUUCGCAUUUUCACUGCCACCUCUGUCCUUCUCUGUAGCAGAUUCCCUAUCAGGCAGCCCGGGGUCUUGGGACAACCUUUGCCCAGCAGAAGGCCGCUCUGUUGCUGGCUCCAUUGCAUUGCUUAUUCUCAAUGAGCCAUGACUGGGCUCACUUCUUCUUGAAGAAUGACCUCUGCAAUUUUCAGCAUUUUCUUCAAAAUUUUUAUUUUUGGCCUGAGGGGUCGAUGUCCCCCCAAAUCUACUUCUUUUGUGAUGGGAAGGAGAACAGGGUGAGCGCACACCAACCCACAGACAUUCUUCAGACUGGGUUUCCUCUUCAGUGUCAUCGCUUUCUCUUCUGCUGUUCAAUGACAAAAUGGAAUAAAAGUCUUCAUCUCGGAACCUAAAUGAUGCCUUUCUUGGCCCUCCUACAGUGGUGGGUGUGAGUGGUGGCCCCGAGAACUCACUCAAUACUUGAGGACUAUUUUUUCCUUGGAAGGCCUGGGACAGGGCUGGAUGCAGCUCACUCUGGGAAGGAGCACUCGGGUCUCCUUUUUUGGCUCUAUCAGGGGCGUUCUCAGUCAUUGGCUGUGACGAUGGGACCAAGUUUCUUCUCUCUUGAUUUGGCCUCUUCAGCUUAGUGUUACACAUCAGGCCUUCUUGUUGAACUACUUGAUCUGCAUUGAGAAAAGACACAUUUAUCGUUCCAGUAAAAGGGCCCAUGGAUGAAAGGCCUCUAGCACCAAGUGCAAAAUUGCCCUUUAAAUGCAACAGACAAGACCUAGAGAAGAAAACAGACACGGUCAAAAUGGCUGGAGGUACAAGAGGAGCAGAGCCCAGCAGGCUUCAUUUUACUGCCCCGUAUUCUCCUUUGUACCCCUGUGGUCCUAGGGAAAUGGGGGGACCCUGAGGAUACAGAUUCUUUCUGCAGAAGCUCCCGGAAGACUGGCCCAGCCCCAGCCAGUCAGGACUGAUGAUGCGCAAACCUCACACUAAAUACUGGCUUUUGUUCCAUACGUACUGAAAGGGAAAACCACCACUCUGGGAAUGACUUCUACAAAAACCACCAGCCCUUUCUCAUCCACGUUCAUUCAAUGUACAUUUAUGACACCCUGCCUCCCACGCAGCUUUACAAGAACUUAAGAGAAGUAUAACAUGUCUUGGCAGAUCAGGAGGAAGGCUAUAGGAGCUGGCGCCCGGGGAACACUGGGGAUUUUGGUCAUGUUUACUAUUUAGUGAAAAUAAAAAUUAUAAAUCGCU